GCUUCAAAUACUACCAGAAUGGUCACUGGGCUAGGAAAUGCCUACAGCCCAGGAUUCCUCCCAAACUAUGGCCUUCCUGUGUGGGUCCUUAUUGGAAGUCAAAAUCUCCAGCACUAGCAGCUGCCCUGCCACUUCUGUACCAUAAAACCAGGGACCCCCAAGGUCUCCUUCCCAGACCUCCUUGGCCUGGCCGCCAAAGAGUGGUAAACACGGAGGCAGCAAAGAUCUCCUAGUUCAUCUCAGAUAUUGAGUUCUGGGUAACUUUUAUGUUGGUAAGUCCAUCCCAUUCCUCAUUAACACAGUUCUAUUCACUCCGCCUUGUCUUGCUUGUAUGGACUAACUUUCCUUGCCUCGAUUGCUAUUGUAGAGAUUGCUAUUGUAGAGAUUGGCACAAGUGGUGCCGAAACCCGGGAAGCGACGGUCAUCAUUGCCGGCAUCAGCGGAGACCCCUGACUUCAGGAGGAUUCAGAACUGAGACGCAGGAGGGGAGGAUCCACCAACUUUCCGAGAGGUAUUCUCUCUUCUCUUCUGCUCCACCUACUUAUGGUUAGUUCUUUUCACCACCAACAACAGGACCAUCAACAUCACCACAACACUUCAAUGGUCUGCGCAACAUCACCUUCGCACUCACUCCAGUUUGCGUGUGGCCACCAUUUCUUUGGCUUGUGGCUAAUGUGACUCUCUCACAGACUAUGGAACUGAAUUGUGCCAAUGAUACUUGUUGGUACGCAUCCUGCUGGGACGCUACCAAAUUUCCUCAUGCUGUGGUUGUUCGAAUGCCUCGAUUCAUUCCUGUACCAACGGAAGUCUCGAAUCCCUUGAGUACUGUAAGAUCUAAGAGAGACUUUGGGAUUACGGCAGCAAUAGUAUCAGCGAUAACUAUUGCGGCCGCUGGUGCGACCGCAGCCGCCGUCUCUUUCCACGUCAGUACAAACCGCAACUGCUUUGAAUAAUUUGUCAGCCAAUGUAGCCUCUGCGCUCGAUAUGCAAGCCUCUAUUAAUGCCCAUUUGAAGGGAGGGGUAAUGAUUGUUAAUCAAAGGGUUGAUUUAGUGCAAGAGCAACUUGAUGUGUUAUGGCAAUUGGCCCAAAUAGGAUGUAUGUGGAGGAUGCCAGGACUCUGUGUUACACCUGUACAAUAUCAUAAUAUGUCAAAAGCUGCGAAUCUAGGGAACUCUCUAAGUAUUUGACAUCAAAUUGGACGGGACGUUUUGAUCACUUGGUUAGACAAUUGAGAGUAGCCAUUGCUCAUGUUAAUUCUACCCGAGUAGACAUUGUUUUUGCACAAGGUAUAUCUGAUUGGAUUGCAAGUGCUGUAUCUAUUCUGAAGGAUUGGGCUGGAAUGGGAUCAAUGAUUGCUUUGUUGGCUUUGGCAGUGUUUUUGGGAUUUUGGUGGUUAUGUAAGAUGAGAUGACAGAGACAAAAUGAUAAUAUCAUGUUAUUGCAAGCUUUCGCUGCCCUUGAAGCCGGAUACUCGCCUGCUGCCUGGUUGGCCCAUCUACAAUAGUAACUUGAACGUUGGUCAAUAUCUGCCUAUGCCUUGCUCAUUCGGAGGCCACAAAUACCUACAUCUCUCCACCUCCUUGGACAUGGCCUCUGCACUCUGUGGAUUAGUCCAUUGCACCAGAAUCAGGCAUGUCCUUUUAUAAUCUUGUUGAUCAGCCUUCGCACCGCUCAGAGGUUCUCAUUGCACGAGCUAAGGUGAUCCAACAGUUGCUCACAUGGAAUACCUGCUUCGACCACCUUCCGGCCGGGGUGGUUGACAGGCUCCUCCUGAGCUCUAGUUAUUUUAAGGAAGGGGGAGAUGUCACGCGCCAUUAUUUCCGGGUUCUUCAUGCCCUGCAUGAAUCCCGGAUGUGAGUCCGCCGGUGACGGUGGUUCACGCCUGCGCAGAGGAGGCGCUUGGUUCGUCAGAAUGACGCAGGCCGGCAUUGACCAAUAGAAAUGGGCCACGUCACCCGAGAGGCUAUAAAAGGCAGGCUCGCAUCCGGCUCAGGGUCUUUCUGCCAUCUUGAAGAAUGUAGAAGAAACUCCAAUAAAGCGUGCAUCAGAAGAAUCCUGAGUGUUGCGUGCUCCUUGCUGGCGAGGUGCGCGCGACAGAGAUUG
This is a long non-coding RNA of Fukomys damarensis (Damara mole-rat), 2104 nucleotides long. The record is from Ensembl. NCBI's taxonomy places the organism in Eukaryota, Metazoa, Chordata, Mammalia, Rodentia, Bathyergidae.